Molecule: ribosomal RNA, 492 nt
Filed under: uncultured bacterium
Lineage: Bacteria
Description: partial 16S ribosomal RNA
Rfam family: Bacterial small subunit ribosomal RNA
Source: RNAcentral
AGUGAACGCUGGCGGUAGGCCUAACACAUGCAAGUCGAACGGCAGCACAGUAAGAGCUUGCUCUUACGGGUGGCGAGUGGCGGACGGGUGAGGAAUACAUCGGAAUCUACUUUUUCGUGGGGGAUAACGUAGGGAAACUUACGCUAAUACCGCAUACGACCUACGGGUGAAAGCAGGGGAUCUUCGGACCUUGCGCGAUUGAAUGAGCCGAUGUCGGAUUAGCUAGUUGGCGGGGUAAAGGCCCACCAAGGCGACGAUCCGUAGCUGGUCUGAGAGGAUGAUCAGCCACACUGGAACUGAGACACGGUCCAGACUCCUACGGGAGGCAGCAGUGGGGAAUAUUGGACAAUGGGCGCAAGCCUGAUCCAGCCAUACCGCGUGGGUGAAGAGGGUCUUCGGGUUGUAAAGCCCUUUUGUUGGGAAAGAAAAGCAGCAGGUUAAUACCCCGCUGUUCUGACGGUACCCAAAGAAUAAGCACCGGCUAACUUCGUG